GUUUGAGCAUGCGCAGUAGCCAACUUUCGGCAAAAACGCUGUUCCAGUCGAUCUAAGAUCCUGACCUCAAAGAGACAGAGCGAUGGGAUUUUGACCAAAUUGUGGAAGCACAUUUUCCUUUAAUGGACCAAUAAGCGUUUCAAGGUUUCCAUCAGGAGGAGAGACGGGAAGGAGACACCAGGGAGUGUUUUUCCAAUUAGCAGCACAAAGAGGAAGUGGGAAAGCACCAAAAGGAUAUAGACCAAUUAAUGAUGCAGCCUACCUCAGUUACUGGACACAAUUGGAUGGAUAACAACUGAACUGUGAUGAGGCCUGGGAGUGCUGAUUGUCACCGAUGAAGCUGCGCCCGUCUCUCUAAAUCGUCUUCACCUUUGUCCAGUGUCUUCUGAUAUCAUUAUUGAGGGGGGUAUUUUAAUGGACUCAAGAAGCCAGCUGCUUGGGCUGCUUGACACUUGGACCACCAUAAAGCCACGAAGAACACAGUCAGCUUCAUUCGGGGACUAAUGCUUGGCUUGGGUCAGAAAACAACAGAUUUCUAAGUAAUCUGCAAACUUUUAGAAUUCAAAGGUUUGAGAGUUACAUUGUAACUAAUCUUGAAAUGUUUUUAAGGCAGCGCAUGUUAAACUAAAUUGCGCUUGUGACUUUUUAUAUGUAAAUAAUAAAUAAAUAUGUAAAUAAUGCCAGCUGUUUUCAGUCCAAUGGGCUUCAGCUAUAAAUUGUGCUGCCCAAAAAUAUUUUCAAGGCAAUCCGUCUGCGUGCUUAUUUUUUUUCUAAAAUUAACUGGCCAGUUUAUUACUGAUGUAUAAAUGAUCCCAUAGUAUGAAUGCAAGAUUUAGCUGUGGCUAAGUUUAAAUUUAGUAACAGCUGGUGUAGCCAGUGUUUGAUUAAAUUUGGCAAAGCGAGGACAAAUGGGUUUGUGAAGCGUUUUCAAAGAUACCUUAUCUUUAAAUAAGGUGUCUUUUCCAAACGCCUAUUAUAAAAACAUUUCAGAAGAGCGCCUAAGGAGAGGUGUGUAUUUGUGCUCAAGUCUCUUCUGUGUGGCAAAGUGAGAGAGUGUGUGUCAGCGAGGGGAAAGGGAAAUAUUGUUUGUGUUUUUUUAUUUUGUUUAUAUCUCGCUGUAUUUUUAUGUCCUACACUUGAGCUUUGCGAGCAGCAGAGAGGGUAAAAAAGAGGGAGAGAAAGAGAGUAUUCUCAAUUUCCUUCUAAAAAGAAAAUUCAUUUGCAGUUGCUAAUGUAAUGUCAUCGUUGUGUUUACUGAGCGUGGAUGAUGUAUAGGGGAUGUUGCAUUGAGUGAGACUGCUUAAUGAUGCAUAGAAUUAAGUCUGUGGCUUUCAGCUGAGCUCCUCUCUCUCUCUCUCUCUCUCCCUCUCUCUCUCGCUCUCUCUCUCUCUCUCUUCCUCUCUCUCAGACACUCCUCUCCCUCUUCCCCCCUCCCUCCCCUUCUCUCACACACUCUCUGCUCGCUUCCUCUUUCCUUCCCUUCCUUUCACCUCUCUUUUCAUUUAAUCCCCACCCUCCUCCUCCUCCUCCUCCUCACCACCACACCAGCCUCUCUCUUUCCCUCUGAUGCAGGCUGUCUUGGACUGUUGGCCACACGUUGCUCUGUGUACUGUUGCCUAACUCCAUCAAUCACUGCGAAGGGAGGGAAAGAGAGUGUGGAGGGAGGGCGAUAAAAAGAAUAAAAAUAAGAUAUGGCUGGAAAAAAAUGAGCGAGAUGAAAACAGACAUUGGGCAUAGACAUUGUACCGGAUCAGCUUUAGAAACCUGGAGGGGAAGUGAGUAAACGAGUGGGAAGAACACAUCUAUACAUUUAAUGAUCCACUGAGAACACUGCCAGUCCAAAUAACUGCCUGAAAACUGUGAGAAUAUAUGGAUGUAAUUGCGUUAUUUCUGGCUCUCCCUGUGAUGGUCCUCUGCUGGGAUCUGGGGCAAUAAAG
Long non-coding RNA from Archocentrus centrarchus (flier cichlid), 1937 nucleotides. RefSeq lists it as uncharacterized. The record is from RefSeq and is a predicted model, not a curated record. NCBI's taxonomy places the organism in Eukaryota, Metazoa, Chordata, Actinopteri, Cichliformes, Cichlidae. The transcript has 3 exons.